UCUGCAAAUUAUUAAACCCUAAACCCCCUCAACUGUGCAGGCGCAUUUCAUCAAACACCUCUCACAAUAAAUCAUUCCUAUUCUUUUGUCGUUCAUACUGUUUACAGGAUCAAAGAAACAGUCAUGGCGGACAUGGACCUGGAUGAACUGUUGGAUGGCCCGAGCCAGGUCCCAAACCGACCAUCUCGGUUCGCGCCCAAAGGCUCCAAAUUCAAACCCAGACCCAAAACUGAACCAUCUCAACUGCCACCACCGGCGGCAUCUGAUACUGUGGAGGGAUUACCCGUGCCCAAGAAAGAGGAACCUGGCAUUAAACCUGAUAUCAAACCCGAGUUUGCGAACGAUGGCAAUGAUAUGGAUGUCGAGGUGAAGCCAGAGGUGAAAGAAGAAGAGGGAGAUGAUUUAAUGGAAACGGAAGCUGAAGCUGAGCCUGAUGAUGCAAUUGUUCGCGAAAUUGACGUGUAUUUUACCCCUUCUAUUGAUUCUAAUACUCGGUUGUAUGUGUUGCAAUAUCCGCUUAGGCCCUUGUGGCGGCCAUACGAAUUGGAUGAUAGAUGCGACGAGGUCAGGGUGAAGCCAGCAAGUGCAGAACUGGAGGUUGAUCUGGCUGUUGAUGUUGACUCCAAGAAUUAUGACUCUGGUGCUGAUCCCCGGGUGCAGAUGAAAAAGCAGAUUCUUACUUCAUCAUGGAAGCCACCUCACGCAAGUGGGUAUGCUGUUGGGAUUCUCACUGGAAAUAAGUUACACUUGAAUCCUGUUCAUGCAGUUGUACAACUCCGACCGUCAAUGCAACAUCUUGAUGCUAAAGAUUCUAAAAGGAAGACCAUUAAUGUUGAAGAUAGAGUGAAGUUAGAAGAGCCUCAGGAAGGAAAACCUUCUGGGUCAUCGAAGAAGCUGAGCAAAGUCCCAGAACAGAACAAUGAUAGUGGAGAGGGCUGGAUUCCUCUCAAGUACCAUAGUGCAAAGAGUGAUGUUGCAGCAGGAUACCUACGGAAAAUGAUGUCACGAGGGGGCUCACAGAUCUACUUUUCCAUGAGCUCGUGUGACUAUCUGAACAGCUUGUGUCCCGGCACUUCUAGUGACAGUUUCAGUUCCAAAGGUCCUCCAAGAAGGGCCCUCGAGUUCACCGAUUUGAUGCUCUGAAGUACCUUGCCCCAGACGAGUCGGUUGAAGAAAUUUUAGGGGUCAUACAGGAACAUGCUCGAUUAGUGCAAGGACUUUGGGUUCCAAAAAGUUCAUUGGUGUACGGAACAGAUCAAGGGGUCGAAGUUUUAGCGAGGGAUUAUGUUCUCCUUUUAUUUAGCAAGAAUAUUAUCAUUAACAACUCUCAAUUACCUCAACGGCCUCAACUAUCUAAAGCAAUGAAAGAAGUCCUAAAUGUAUUGGCUGUAGAGCGGCCAGCCUUUAGUGAUUGGAAACUCAAAGAGCUACCUGAUAUAAGUUUCAUAAAACGCAAUCCCUCUAUUGUACAGAAACAAGAGGAAGAGUGGGAAUGCUUGGAAAAGAAAAUUAACGAUCUUCUUUUUGGAGGAAGAAAUGGGCCUGGUGUGAAGACCUCUUCAAAGUCUAAUACCACAAACAACCCUGCAGCACCCAAAAGUUCCAAUAGAGUAGCUACAAGGGCUCCAAAUGGAGCACCCUCAAAAACUGCAAUGCCGGAAGAAGUUCGAGAGGCUGUAACGAAAGCCCUUCAGAAACUUUUUAAAAGUAUCAAGGUUUGCAGUUUUCAACAGAUCAGCCAGAGGUUAAGGGAUAUGGCAGUUUCUGAGUCUAAACGUUCAACGGGAUUUGCUAGAGAAGCAGUAGCUGCAGCAAACAGCAUUGAUGCUUUCCCAGAUGAGCUUCAGGCAAUCAUCAGUCAAGUAGCUGUUAAUAUUCAUGGCAUCUGCGUUCCAAAAUCAUCACCCGAUAAUCCACAAUAUGAUCCAUUCAGGAAAAUUGUUAUUGAUCUUUUCCUUGCUGAAGGACCAAAUGCUAAGCUUAAAAAGGCUCCCAUACUUGAGGCUGCUAAGAUGGAACUCAAAAGGGAUAUAUCUCCAAUUGAGUAUCAGAAGGUCUUGCAGGAACUGUGUUUAUCACAAGGUUCUGCUUGGGUCCUGAGGAGUGCUGAUGGAAACCCAUAGCACUCAAGUUUAUACUGUCAAAUCCGUAAACCAAUAUAUGAGAUGCGCACAUAAGUGUGUAUUUUCUUAUAUAUCGGUUUACACCUGCCUUUUGGAAGCAGAAAGGUAUGUGAUAUCGAGAUCAUGGUUGCUGGCUGGUUGUUUGGACAUUCAUCCUUCUAUUGGAGCUCUUAGUUAAGUUGUAGAAGGAAUGAAUCUCUUUGCUGCAUCUGAAAUUCAUGGGGGGAACAAUCGGCCAUCUGAGAAAUUUGUUAUACUACGGAUGACACGAUUACUUUGUACUGCUUGAUAAUUGGAAAAGGCAGCGUAGAAUACAUCUCAAUUAGAAACUUUUAGGACACACCUUCAAGCACACAAAGUGAUCGACUGUAUAGAAAAACGAAUAUUAGUCUUUUCCUCCCAUGUUGUGGCUAAUUGUCGGAACAAAAUAUUGCAAAGAGUUUAUAAGUUUACCCGAA
Non-coding RNA from Sesamum indicum (sesame), 2581 nucleotides. NCBI's taxonomy places the organism in Eukaryota, Viridiplantae, Streptophyta, Magnoliopsida, Lamiales, Pedaliaceae. The record is from RefSeq and is a predicted model, not a curated record.